RNAcentral lists this ribosomal RNA (406 nucleotides) under uncultured bacterium. RNAcentral describes it as "partial 16S ribosomal RNA". It matches the Rfam family "Bacterial small subunit ribosomal RNA", at positions 29 to 526 of the family's 1533-position model. The record is from RNAcentral.
AUUGAACGCUGGCGGCAGGCCUAACACAUGCAAGUCGAGCGAGAGGCGGACGGGGGAGUAAUGUCUGGGAAACUGCCUGAUGGAGGGGGAGAACGACAGGAAACGGUAGCUAAGACCGCAUACCAUGAGAUGUGCCCAGAGGGGAUUAGCUAGUAGGUGGGGUAACGGCUAACCAAGGCGACGAGCCCUAGCUGGUAUGAGAGGAUGACCAGCCACACUGGAACUGAGACCCGGUCCAGACUCCUACGGGAGGCAGCAGUGGGGAAUAUUUCACAAUGGGCGCAAGCCUGAUGCAGCCAUGCCGCGUGUGUGAAGAAGGCCUUCGGGUUGUAAAGCACUUUCAGCGGGGAGGCGUUACCCGCAGAAGAAGCACCGGCUAACUCCGUGCCAGCAGCCGCGGUAAUUC